Molecule: long non-coding RNA, 610 nt
Filed under: Chinchilla lanigera (long-tailed chinchilla)
Lineage: Eukaryota; Metazoa; Chordata; Mammalia; Rodentia; Chinchillidae
Description: lncRNA (ENSCLAG00000027297.1)
Source: RNAcentral
GCCCCUGUCCCUAGGCCAGGCUGCACGGUUCAGUGUGCUGCUCCCUGUGGCCCUCUGGGAAGGAGCUCCGACACACUCCCUGGCUCUAGUUACUGACUGUCCUCAUCUCCUCCUCCAAAGGGGGUGAAGGUAGCUGACAGUCCUACAACACUGUACUUUCCCUCUGAGCCCAGUUGCUGUGUAUAACUGGUUAUGGGACAGGAAGACCUCAGGAAGACCGUCACCUCUCAGGUCUGGGCAAGAGAGCUAUAUUCCUUCAGCUAUGCAGCAGCUACCUUCAUCUUCCUCCUAUACCAGCUUCAAGGCAGAAAACUGUGGAGUCCUGGAGAACCACCUUUGAAGUCCUUCGGUCCCUUCUACCUAGAGUAAAGGUGAAAGACUAUGCAGACAGAUACAUCUCUGAUAGAAAGAGACAUGAUUUCAAAGGAGGCUGCUAAAUUAAACUAAGAAUGGAUUGCUUAUUGACAUCUUACAUGAUUAUCUCCUCACUUCAUUACAGACGUUGACCAAAUUUUGUGAGGUCCAAAGCUUAUGCAAUUUGGGGAACCCUCUUUUUUAGGAAAAGAACACAACAUUAUGAACAGGCAAUUAAGUGCAGUCUCUAGAAGGG